UAGGAAGGUGUCCUUAAUGUUUUGUACACUCACUGUAUGUUAUACUUAUGAUAAAUAACAUGAUGUGACUGACCUGCUUUCAGGUGGACUCAGAGCUGGCUCCCUUCAGUAGUGUUUUUCAAAGAUACACAGGAAGAUGUCAGGACCCAUACUCCGAUGCUGUGGACGCCACACAGAAAGAGGUUGUGUGUGUGUGUGUGUGUGUGAGAGGGGGGGAGGGAAUCUGAACUGAUCUAAUGACUCUGUGAUGUGAAUCCUCUCCAGUUGCAGUGCUGUGGAAUCUAUGACUACCGUGACUGGUUGGCCACGCCCUGGUUUAACCACAGUGGGCGGGGCAGUGUACCUCACAGCUGCUGUAAUUACACCUACCACACCUGCAACGGUACCCUGGAGCUGCCCGGGCUACUAUAUCCAAAGGUAUACACACAUACACACACCAGCCCUGGCCCUCUGUAGUGAUCCAAAGGGCUGCCAGGUGAAGCUGGAGGAGGCCUUGCUUUUUGUUCUGCAUCUCAUCAUCUGGUCAUCUCUGGCAGUGGCGCUAGUGGAGACUGUAGGGUUUGUGAGUGUGGCUCAGCUGAUGAGGGAACAGCCUCUGUUGGAGUAUGGAAUACUGGACAGGGAGUAUGGAAUACUGGACAGGGAGUGGGCCUGAACCAGAACCAGAGUCUCGGUCCAGAAUACUUUCUGCCAAUCUACUUUAGAUAUACUAUGUCCUGGACCUUGGUAAAGUUAAUGAUGCUGUGGACCUUAAAGGCCCAGUGCAGUCAAAUGUGUUUUUUCUUUUUUCUCCAGUGUUUUUAUAUCAUAUUUCCACACUGAGGUUGGAAGACUACUAUGGAAUUGUGAAAAUGCUGAUAAUGCCCUCUUAGUGUAAGCGCUGUUUGAAGACUGCUCUCUAGUGGUGUGUGUGGUUCUAGUUGCCUGGGCAGCUCAAGGGCCCCUAGGGUACCAUUACAGGUAAUUGACGUAAUCAUCCCCAGUCUUGUUGGUGAAGCUACUUUAAAAGAGUGAUUAUCUUGCUUCCACUAAACUAAUGUAUACACAUCUGUGAAGGAAGAUGUACUCUAAAAGUGUCCUACACUUCUGCAUACACUUCCCUCGUUUCAUAAGGAUCAACUGGAAUAUGUAAUGGCCACAAUGUUUUGUUUUUGUUCACUGAUGUAGAUUCAUGCUUGUUAAAGAAACCACUCAAUUGUUUUUGAUGGUCAACAUGUCACAUGUCCUGCAGAUGACAUAUUUAAUGACAUUUUGACACUGCCCUGCAUGUCUUUUGAGUAAUUAACUUGUUGAAACUGUUGUGUGGCUAUUGUUUGAUUGUAACUUACCCCUAUGUAGCUGGGUGAUUCUGCAAUUUAGGGCACUUUGGCCCUGCAAGCUUUCAGAAAUGAAAAGUUAUUGAAACACCAUUUUACCAGUAUUAUAAUUCUUUGAUUUGUCUAGAAAAUAUCUGAUAAUGGCUGCUAUCGUCCUAUUCGGGAAUGUACAUAUUUUUCUCAGACAGCCAUAGACGCAUUUUAUUUCCAUCACUAAACAUCCAUUUUUGUUAAAAAUGAAGUAAUUAAUUUAACACAUUUCUUAUACAUUUGUGUAUUGAGUAUUUUAAGAGAUUUACGGUUUUCCUAAUAUGAAUAAUUCAACAUGACGCCUGAAAUUUAUAGACUUGCCUUUGUGACAGCUGGAAAAAGAUAAUAAAAAUAAGAUAUUUCCGCCCAACCUUUUUUUUUGAGAUGAUGAUCAUUUCCCUAUAUAAAACAAAUCACUAAGUUAUACAUAAUAUACUAAUGUACCUAAAAAAUAUAUGGGUGUGGGGGGAAUGACAAGGUGUGGUGGACAUUAAGUAAAAACCUGAUUUAAAAACGAAUAUUUUAUUGAAAACAUUUUGAAUAACAACCAUUGUUCAACAUUUUAUAAGACACAGUAACAUUCCAAAAGUAGC
Oncorhynchus tshawytscha (Chinook salmon) is the source of this 1939-nucleotide long non-coding RNA. NCBI's taxonomy places the organism in Eukaryota, Metazoa, Chordata, Actinopteri, Salmoniformes, Salmonidae. The record is from Ensembl.